Molecule: ribosomal RNA, 1279 nt
Filed under: Strombomonas acuminata
Lineage: Eukaryota; Euglenozoa; Euglenophyceae; Euglenales; Euglenaceae
Also listed under: 1 other name
Description: partial large subunit ribosomal RNA
Rfam family: Eukaryotic large subunit ribosomal RNA
Source: RNAcentral
AGGAAGUGCAAGCAACCGCGAUUGCUUCAGUAACGGCGAGUGAAUGGGCAACACAAUCUCAGCCUGAAGUGAAUCCCAGACUGCACUGUCCUGUGGCAGAUGCGUCCGGCUCUCUUGGGUUCUGAUGCUGUGGGCUGUGGAGCAGGUGGCAGUGAUCAGGCUUGGGCAUGCACCAGGAAUGGCCCUGGAAGGGCCUACCAGAGUGGGAUACUGUCCUUUACGAAUGCCUGUGUGUGUGCCCAGCUUGGACGUUGCUGCUUGCAUCCAGGAGUAGAGUGGCUUGGGACUGCAGUUUGAAGCGUGGGGUAUAUCCCCCAUAAGGCAGCAUACUGACAUGGGACCGAUAGUGCACAAGUAGAGUGAUCGAAGGAUGCAAAGGACUCUGCAAAGAGGGUUAAAAGCCCCUGAAGCCUCAGCAGGAACGGCGGUGAGUGGUGCUGUGGUUCUCAGCUCCAGGGUAUGUCUCCAAGGCCUCUUGUGGGUCAGCUGGGGUGCAAGGUUGCUGUGGCCUCACCCAGGUGGUGCAAGGCUGCAGUGGAUCUGCCACAGUGAAGCCCGCUCGGGUUGAGGGUUGAUGUGCCCUGGCGGCUGCUGUCCUCUGACCUGGUGGUCAACCAGGUCAAGACAGGUUGAUAGAGAGUGCUACCAAGUGCCCUUGGGCCAGCCCAGAGCUGGCCACUGAGCUCUGUCCUCCAGGAUGGGAUGCAAUCGUGGCAGCCAAGUGGUGGCAGUAUGCCUGCCCGGGCCUGAGGGAUCACUGAUGUCUCCAGAGAGUUGCAGUAGCAGUGCUGGGAAACCAUCAACCUGGUGUGUCUCCGGACAUGCCAGUGGCUGUGUUGGGUUCUGGCUGGGGUUGGUGGCUGCAUGGUGGCUGCACCAUUCUGAUGGUGGCCCUGUGUGGUUGCUGGCCCUCCAGACCUGGCAUGGUCAGAAGGCAGCUGAGCUUGGUACAAGCAGUGCCACUCUCUGCCCGUCUUGAAACACGGACCAAGGAGUCUAUGGAGCUUGCAAGCUUGCCGGUUCUCAAACCUGAAGGCGUGGUGAAGGCGAGCCAACCCCAGAUGGGUGCAUCCACUCUGCAUGGGGCACCAGUCCCAAAGUCCAGUGGACAGGGUUCUGAGUGAUUGCAAGGUCCAUGGGACCCGAAAGGUGGUGAACUAUACCGUGCUAUGAUGAAGCCGUGGGAAACUGCGGUGGAGGUCAGUCGCUGUUCUGACGUGCAAAUUGUGUAGCCUGAGUGCGGCAUAGGGGUGAAAGGCCAAUCGAGCCACCUAGUAGC